CAGCCGCCACGGUAAUACGAAGGGGGCUAGCGUUGUUCGGAUUUACUGGGCGUAAAGGGCGCGUAGGCGGACUGAUAAGUCAGGGGUGAAAUCCCAAGGCUCAACCUUGGAACUGCCUUUGAUACUGUUUGUCUUGAGUUCGAGAGAGGUAAGUGGAACUCCACGUGUAGCGGUGAAAUGCGUAGAGAUGUGGAGGAACACCAGUGGCGAAGGCGACUCUCUGGUCUGUAACUGACGCUGAGGAGCGAAAGCGUGGGGAGCGAACAGGAUUAGAUACCCCCGUAGUCCCUGUCUCUUAUAC
RNAcentral lists this ribosomal RNA (301 nucleotides) under uncultured bacterium. Its description in RNAcentral is "partial 16S ribosomal RNA". It matches the Rfam family "Bacterial small subunit ribosomal RNA", at positions 509 to 807 of the family's 1533-position model. The record is from RNAcentral.